AUGUGGUCUCUGCGGCCGUUUGUAGAUGACGACAUAAUGCAUAAAGCUUGGAAUCUCGUUCCCGGACGCUGAGACCAUUCUAGCAAAGUGAGGACGUUGCCGUGCCCAACUUCCCCGUCUCUAUGGACCUACGGCAUGACUAGAGAUAUCAAAAUAUUCGCACACAGCUGUUGGGGUUAGAUUAUUAAUGUCUGAUUUUUUCGAACCUCUAAUUUUUGUUCGGUCGCUCAAAUCUAUAUUAAUUUUGUUGAAGAGAUAAAUUUUAAAAGUUGCAUGCAUCACUAUGAACUUAAACUUGAGAUCUUUGGCCUAUCACAAGAACGGUACACAUUCCAAAUUUAUAUAUUUUGCUAUGUUAUUAAGUAAUUUAUAGUCAUUUAAAAAAUUAAUUUAUUAGUNUUUUGUCAUUUGGGGUGAAUCUCAUUUAUAACCUUUCUUCAAUGCUAGAAUUGGACAAUAUGAUGAACUAGUGUCUACUGGUAGCCGGUUGGUUGUUAGCUUUCAGCAAGCACUUGGUGAGUGGAUCUGUCUGAGUUGCUUGUGCUUUCAAUUUAUUGUCUAUUAUGUUUUCAUUCACUCAUAUUGGGUGGAAUUAGUCACAUUGUUGGGUUUGAAAAUGUAAAUCUAUUCUAACUAUUUGCAACACUGCCAACACAAGUACAAUUCGAGAGUUGGAUAGCUUGAUUGUAAUCUUGCUAUAAUUGAUUGAUGAUUGUUGUUAGAUAAAUAUCAGCAGAAACAGUUAAUAGAUCUCCCUAUUAUCUGGCCAGGGUUCUUAGAGCGGGCUCCAAUUGAUAAGACGUCUACAUUGGUGGAACGCAUUAUCAAUGCUCAUGGAUCAAGAAGGGUGUUGUCUAUUUUGAAGCUGGAUGUGCCAACAGUCAUGACAGGGUACAAAAUGUGAGCAAGUGUAAGUCUGUUAAAAUUUCCAUCUGAUUUAGAGAAUAGGGGCCAAAUAUGGUUUGUCUAAGUUUAUGAGUUAAAGCUGGUAGAGUAUUGUACGCUAUUGCAUUUUGAACUUUUUUUUGUAUACAUGUUUAGGUGAGUUAAAUAAUGCAUCCAAUUUUAUCUAUCUAUUUAAUGUCUCAUAUGGAAACAGCUUCUCACAAUUCAGAUACCAUGAUCCUUCAUAUAUGUAUCUUUGUGGUUUUGUAUUUGAAUAAUUUGUUAUCAUAUCUUCUAUUAUAAGAUACGAUAGAAGUCUAGCACUACCUUCAAUCUCUCUCUAUAGGUCUUUUCAUAUGGAGUAUUACGCUAGCACUAAAUUUUUGAGAUUCUUAUGUGGUUACAAUUGGGGUAGACUUGUAUGUAUUACGGAUGAGCAAUGGAGACAUUCAUUCAAGGUUGCCCCAAUGAGAAAUGGUACUUUGCCUUUGACUGUAUGAUUGUAAUUGAUAGUCAUUCUUCGAAGGGAAUGGCAUUUCAUAUGGUAACAGAACUCCAGCUCUACUCUAUGCCAUUUCCAGUUUCUGUAAAUGCUAUCUUGUCCUGUUUCUGUUCAGUGUCGAUUGAGUGGUUAGGAUACACAUAACAAGUCACGAAGAACUCAUAAGAAGGUCCCUAUGGUUAUUCAUGCUUGUUCAUGAUCCAAUAUUUUUUUUUGAGACGGUUCAUGAUUCAAUAUUAUACCACUACUUUCAAUAGAAAAGAAUGCCAGAUAGGAGUACUAGAAAUCUUUUGAACUAUCUAUUUCCUUUUGUUUUCCCUUUGCUUCUUGUAGUUCAGAAAUGAGUCACUUUCCAAAGAAGAGGGAGGAUUGGAGCUCAAAUUACUGAAAUUCUGGGAUGACCAGGCUUAGGGAGGAAAUUCAACAUUAAUAUUUUGUUUAUAUGGGCAGUAUUGCCAAUGUUGCCGUUGCUCUAUUUUUUUGUAUUGCAACUCAAUCUUGUUGGUUCUGUUAUUUUCCUCAAUAAUUUGCAAAUUUCUUGCAGAAGUGCAUACAUGCCACGUUGGACUUCAAGACUAUACAAGUAAAGGUAGUUCUUUUUCAGAUUUUGCAAGGUUUAUUUAUAUUAUAUAAAUGUAAAAUAGCAAGAUUUCUCUUGGCAUUCGUCAUGAAAAAAAUGCAAACGCAAACGCAAACGCAAACAGUGAUAGUUUCUGGAAAGUCAUGUGGUUGGGAAUUCAUACAUGUUACUACAUUAUAGUUUCUUUUAGUUAUCUAUCAAUGCCUUAAAAACGCAAAAAACUGUACUUUUACCACAUCUAUGUCUAUUUUCUUGAAUCACAUGUUAGAGCAUAUAAUUCGUGCUGGGCUUUAUAGCUUGGUUGAUUAAUGACAAAUCGUUCCUUAAGUUGCAAUGUAUUAACUUACAGUUUUGAUCAUUGAAGCUUGUGGAUUUGAUGAAAUUUUAGAAUUAUAUCAUUAUAUGAAUCCAGAAUCAAUAACAAAGUGGUUUCAGAAUAUGAGUAUCGUCAGUCUGUAAAUAAGGGAUGCUAAUGUUAGAUGCCUUAGUUCUUUUGUUAAGUUGGACGUUAGGUUUCGUAAUAAUCAUAUUAUUUCUCGAAGUAAUCAAUCUGCAUAACUAUUCGCGGAGUGAUCUGUCGUUCCUCCCUUCCUUAUCUAAGUUGAGCGCCUUCAAUUAUUUAUUCCUUUUAUUUGUUCUGUAUUUCAGUAGCUCUGUUUUUUUUGUUGGGGGGGGGGGGUGAUUUUCCAAUUUUAGCUAAUCAUCGGAAUCUGAAUAUGAUGCUGCAGCUAAAGAAGUUGUCGAUGAACUUGAAUUCCUUCUGGGCAAUGCAGCAUCUGUUGUGCAAACUUCAAAGGCGAAAGGUGGAGACGAUAUUAGCUUUAACUCAGAUUCAUGUAUUACUUCUAGUCUGCAAACUGCAAAGGAGAAAGAUGAAGAUAUCAGUUGCAACUUAGAUUCGUGCAUUACUUCAAUUGACCAAGUAAAUCAUCUCUCUCUCCCCCCCCGCCCCUAGAUCAUGGUCUUAAAAGAUCUUCUCUACAGGAAAGACCUGAUGUUGCAGACUAUGCUAGCAUGAUGGCUAUUAUAUACAGCAUGGUGAAGCAAGACCACACAAUGCAGGUAGAAAUCACUUUCUUGCUGGCCACGACAAUCACGACAUGUUUCUUGACCCCGAGUGUGAAACCAUGUUUUGCAGGUCCGAAUAGUCUCCUCCCUUAACCACAAGUCUUCACAGGGAGAACUGGAGACCUAUUGCCAGAUGUGGUCUCUGCGGCCGUUUGUAGAUGACGACAUAAUGCAUAAAGCUUGGAAUCUCGUUCCCGGAUGCUGAGACCAUUCUAGCAAAGUGAGGACGUUGCCGUGCCCAACUUCCCCGUCUCUAUGGACCUACGGCAUGACUAGAGAUAUCAAAAUAUUCGCACACAGCUGUUGGGGUUAGAUUAUUAAUGUCUGAUUUUUUUCGAACCUCUAAUUUUUGUUCAGUCGCUCAAAUCUAUAUUAAUUUUGUUGAAGAGAUAAAUUUUAAAAGUUGCAUGC
This 3446-nucleotide long non-coding RNA is filed under the name Salvia miltiorrhiza (redroot sage). Its description in RNAcentral is "long non-coding RNA (SMIL_LNC005785)". The record is from RNAcentral. Lineage: Eukaryota; Viridiplantae; Streptophyta; Magnoliopsida; Lamiales; Lamiaceae.